Clostridium tetanomorphum DSM 665 is the source of this 86-nucleotide non-coding RNA. Lineage: Bacteria; Bacillati; Bacillota; Clostridia; Eubacteriales; Clostridiaceae. The record is from Rfam.
UAACCUACAUAGUGAUAUGUAGCUGAACUAUCAGAAGUCAGAAGAGGUCAUAGUACUACGUAAAUACGCGUUAGCGUAGGAAGGAC